CGUUUGUUCGAUAUUCAGUCCGCGGUCCCUGAUUCAUCUUAUCCAAAACUCCUCCCUUUCCAGCGACGGCAGCGACGGCGGAGCACGAGCAGGUGAGGGGCGGCGCCUUCGUCGGACGGCUAGCCGCGGCGGAGGAGAAGGCGGACGCCAUGGGUGCGGCUACAGACGAGGCGGAGGAGAAGGCGGACGCCGUGGGCUUGCUGCACGGCUACAGCCGAGGCGGAGGAGAAGGCGGACGCCGUGGUCGUUCAUGGAGGAUGGUACGCCGGCCGCCAGCGCCGGCCGCCAGUCCUCUCUGGCCUCUUACGUUGUAUCCUUCUCAACCUCCGCUGCUCCUAUCGUGAUUUGGAUGGAAAAUUGGAGGCCGGCUGUGUCCUUCUCCAACACAAAUUGAUGUAGUGCCCGACCCGGAUUUGAUUGGCUGCUAUAAGAAGCAAGGGUCCUCGGCCGGAAUCUCCAUCAGGUUUUGCCCUUCGACCAUAAUCUCCAUCAUCCUAUCAAAAUUGCAAUUUUUGACCAAACAUCCAAUGUCGCCGCCAAGUUCGCCGGAGGAACAAGAAUGCCCGCCGAGUCCUGUGGUGGCUACACGAGAGGUAUGUAUCCCCUCGAAGCUACGCCACGGCGCGGUAGAGCCUGAAGUUCGUCAAAACUUGACCUGACCGUCACUGACGCCACCUUGCUGCCGCUUUUGCUGGAGAUGAGCUGAAUAGCAAGCUUUGGUUGCCUCUUUGCUUCCACUUUACUGCUCAUCGACUAUCUGUAAUUGUAAAACACCUAAUACGAUUCUUCAGCACUUGAUACUGGUGGUCAUGGUCUUCUUCUCUUAUUGUUGCGAGACUUGGUUUUAGUUAGUAAUCUUGAGAUCAAGUGUACUCAUGGAUUGCUUAGAUGGAGGACCACUGUUGGUUUUGUACUUAGAUGCGAUUGUGAAUCAUGUACGGUUCAAUUCAGAUUCAUGUGGUAUUUUUCCUAAAUUUGUGCCUGCCUGAACAUUAUUACUAUUAAACUAUGAAUAAUGAUUUUUGCAAUUGUAGGAGAAUUUCUUUGCCGCAUCACAAGAAUAACAAUUUGAAACAGAGAACUGUACAGAACCUUCUAAUUAUUGUAUGAACUUGCUUCACUUAAUUUGAACUGCAUAUUUUUCAGUACAAUUAAGUGCCUGGUGCCACUUGAGAGAAUAAAAGAAUGAUCAGCUAUUUUUUUUCACAGAUAUGAUUUAGUCAACACUGAUGUCCGUCUGCAAAAAGCUUAUUCUGAUUUGGAGUUGAUUUUUUUUUCAGGCCCUUAAGAUGAGUGAUGAACAUCCGUUGAGCCGUCCAAUGUUGCCUGUGGCAACUACACCGGAGGGAAAGAAAAUUUAGAAGAGCAUGAAGUACAUGUUUAUUUUCGUAUAUAUUUUGGGAUCAUUGCAUAGUGAGGAACAUUAAGGUUAUACUUAAAAGAUGAGACCAUAUUCUUCAAGCUGAGAAGUAAACUAUAAUUGCCAAGAAUCACAAUCAUCACAGUUAUCAGCCAUGCAAGAAAUCAAAUGCCAGGUCUAAAAGUCCAACUCAAAGAACUAAGAACAAAUAGGACUGCUUUUUUAGCCGUCGUCUCCUUUGACUUCACCGCUAUCAUCUCCGUCGACUUCGCCACAAGACAAUCUGCCACCACCUCCGCCGAUUUUGCCGGAAGACCAUCAGCCGUCACCUAGACCUACUUUGGUUCAGAAAAUAGAUGACAACACUGUAACUUAAUAUUACACAGAACAUUGAAGAGGACUUUGAUAACCGACCUUCAAAAAAAGCAAAAAUUUCUGAAUCAAGUGUUCUGGAGCCAUCACCUAUGUCACCAACUAUGUCAACAUGUACUCCAGUUUCUGAGUGUUUUGAAUCGAUUGUGCCAAAAUCAGAUAAUUAGAUAGAUCAUGGUCCAUUGCCAUCACCUCCAUCCCCAUCUAGCUCGACAUUAUCUCAAGAACAUCGGUCGAGCCGUACAAAUGGCGCCUGCAGCGGCUACACCAGAGGUAUUUAUCCCCUUUAUGAAAGCUAAUCACUGCAUGUAAUCCCCUGUUUUAGUUGUUGUUUCUGGCCUGGUUAUACAGGCAGUUUUCAACAGCAGCAGACUAGCAUGCCCAGUCUGAACUUUUAGAAUGUUUUCCCAGUUCAUGUUCAACUUUGAUCCUUUUUUCAGUUAAAGUUCAAAGGAACUUUCCUGUGUGAAUCUGAGAAUCUCACUGAAACUUGUUUCAUUGUGUA
Non-coding RNA from Aegilops tauschii subsp. strangulata, 2237 nucleotides. Lineage: Eukaryota; Viridiplantae; Streptophyta; Magnoliopsida; Poales; Poaceae. The record is from RefSeq and is a predicted model, not a curated record.